CAGGACGAACGCUGGCGGCGUGCUUCAUACAUGCAAGUCGAACGAGAAUCUGGCUUCGGUCAGAGGAAAGUGGCGGACGGGUGAGUAAUGUGUAGAGAAUCUGCCCUUUAGUGGGGGACAACAGUUGGAAACGACUGCUAAUACCCCAUAUGCGCGUAGCUGAGAUGCUAUUCGUGAAAACUCCGGUGCUAAAGGAUGAGUCUGCAUCUGAUUAGCUAGUUGGCGGUGUAAUGGACCACCAAGGCGACGAUCAGUAGCUGGUUUGAGAGGAUGAUCAGCCACAAUGGGACUGAGACACGGCCCAUACUCCUACGGGAGGCAGCAGUAGGGAAUUUUGCGCAAUGGGGGAAACCCUGACGCAAGCAACGCCGCGUGAUUGAAUAAGCCCUUCGGGGUGUAAAGAUCUGUCAGUAGGGACGAAACUUGACGGUACCUACAGAGGAAGCAUCGGCUAACUCCGUGCCAGCAGCCGC
Molecule: ribosomal RNA, 473 nt
Filed under: uncultured bacterium
Lineage: Bacteria
Description: bacterial SSU rRNA
Rfam family: Bacterial small subunit ribosomal RNA
Source: RNAcentral